AGCUUCAGUAGCGUAUAUUAAAGUUGUUGCAGUUAAAAAGCUCGUAGUCGCAUUUCUGGCGAGAGGAUCCGGUCCGACCUUUUGGUGGGUUCUUGGGUCUCUUUCGCCAUCCUUGAGUGGUCCGUUCUGGCAUUAGGUUGUCGGAGCGUCAGCCGCUCAUCGUUUACUGUGAGAAAAUUAGAGUGUUCAAAGCAGGCUUAUGCCGUUGAAUAUAUUAGCAUGGAAUAAUAAGAUAGGACCGCGGUACUAUGUUGUUGGUUUGCGCACCAAGGUAAUGAUGAACAGGGACAGUUGGGGGUAUUUGUAUUUCGUUGUCAGAGGUGAAAUUCUUAGAUUUACGAAAGACAAACUACUGCGAAAGCAUUUACCAAGGAUGUUUUCA
RNAcentral lists this ribosomal RNA (382 nucleotides) under uncultured marine Chaetocerotaceae. Its description in RNAcentral is "SSU rRNA". It matches the Rfam family "Eukaryotic small subunit ribosomal RNA", at positions 587 to 972 of the family's 1831-position model. Lineage: Eukaryota; Bacillariophyta; Thalassiosirophyceae; Chaetocerotales; Chaetocerotaceae. The record is from RNAcentral.